This 497-nucleotide ribosomal RNA is filed under the name uncultured bacterium. RNAcentral describes it as "partial 16S ribosomal RNA". It matches the Rfam family "Bacterial small subunit ribosomal RNA", at positions 28 to 507 of the family's 1533-position model. The record is from RNAcentral.
GAUGAACGCUGGCGGCGUGCCUAAUACAUGCAAGUCGAGCGAACAGACGAGGAGCUUGCUCCUCUGACGUUAGCGGCGGACGGGUGAGUAACACGUGGAUAACCUACCUAUAAGACUUGGAUAACUUCGGGAAACCGGAGCUAAUACCGGAUAAUAUAUUGAACCGCAUGGUUCAAUAGUGAAAGACGGUUUUGCUGUAACUUAUAGAUGGAUCCGCGCCGCAUUAGCUAGUUGGUAAGGUAACGGCUUACCAAGGCAACGAUGCGUAGCCGACCUGAGAGGGUGAUCGGCCACACUAGAACUGAGACACGGUCCAGACUCCUACGGGAGGCAGCAGUAGGGAUUCUUCCGAAAUGGACGAAAGCCUGACGGAGCAACGCCGCGUGAGUGAUGAAGGUCUUCGGAUCGUAAAACUCUGUUAUUAGGGAAGAACAAAUGUGUAAGUAACUAUGCACGUCUUGACGGUACCUAAUCAGAAAGCCACGGCUAACUACGUG